Molecule: transfer RNA, 72 nt
Filed under: Zygosaccharomyces bailii
Lineage: Eukaryota; Fungi; Ascomycota; Saccharomycetes; Saccharomycetales; Saccharomycetaceae
Description: transfer RNA-Pseudo(TAA)
Rfam family: tRNA (bases 9-64)
About the family: Transfer RNA (tRNA) molecules are approximately 80 nucleotides in length. Their secondary structure includes four short double-helical elements and three loops (D, anti-codon, and T loops).
Source: RNAcentral
AAAAAUAUUGGUUAAUUGGUAAAACAGUUAAUUUAAAAUCAAUCAUUAGGAGUUCAAGUCUCUUUAUCCCUG